This 465-nucleotide ribosomal RNA is filed under the name uncultured bacterium. Its description in RNAcentral is "partial 16S ribosomal RNA". It matches the Rfam family "Bacterial small subunit ribosomal RNA", at positions 28 to 507 of the family's 1533-position model. The record is from RNAcentral.
GAUGAACGCUGGCGGCGUGCUUAACACAUGCAAGUCGAACGGAAAGGCUCCUGCUUGCAGGGGUACUCGAGUGGCGAACGGGUGAGUAACACGUGGGUGAUCUGCCCUGCACUUCGGGAUAAGCCUGGGAAACUGGGUAUAAUACCGGCUAGGACGAUGGUUAGGAUGCCAUUGUGGAAAGUUUGUCGGUGUGGGAUGCGCUCGCGGCCUCUCAGCUUGUUGGUGGGGUAAUGGCCUACCAAGGCGUCGACGGGUAGCCGGCCUGAGAGGGUGUACGGCCACAUUGGGACUGAGAUACGGGCCGGACUGCUACGGGAGGCAGCAGUGAGGAAUAGUGCACAAUGGGCGGAAGCCUGAUGCAGCGACGCCGCGUGGGGGAUGACGGCCUUCGGGUUGUAAACUCCUUUCGUCAGGGACGAAGCGAGAGUGACGGUACCGGGAUAAGAAGCACCGGCUAACUACGUG